CCUACGGGAGGCAGCAGUGAGGAAUAUUGGUCAAUGGGCGCAAGCCUGAACCAGCCAAGUCGCGUGAGGGAUGACGGUCCUAUGGAUUGUAAACCUCUUUUGUCGGGGAGCAAGGCCCGCCACGUGUGGCGGGAAGGAGAGUACCCGAAGAAAAAGCAUCGGCUAACUCCGUGCCAGCAGCCGCGGUAAUACGGAGGAUGCGAGCGUUAUCCGGAUUUAUUGGGUUUAAAGGGUGCGUAGGCGGAAGGUUAAGUCAGCGGUCAAAUGUCGGUGCUCAACCACGGAACUGCAUUUGAAACUGUCGGUCUCGAGUAUCGGAGAGGCAGGCGGAAUUCCUAGUGUAGCGGUGAAAUGCGUAGAUAUUAGGAGGAACACCAGUGGCGAAGGCGGCCUGCUGGACGACAACUGACGGUGAGGCGCGAAAGCGUGGGGAGCAAACAGGAUUAGAUACCCUAGUAGUC
RNAcentral lists this ribosomal RNA (461 nucleotides) under uncultured bacterium. RNAcentral describes it as "partial 16S ribosomal RNA". It matches the Rfam family "Bacterial small subunit ribosomal RNA", at positions 338 to 795 of the family's 1533-position model. The record is from RNAcentral.